GUAAGGAAUAUUGGACAAUGGUCGGAAGACUGAUCCAGCCAUGCCGCGUGAAGGAAGAAGGCGCUCAGCGUUGUAAACUUCUUUUGGACGGGAAUAAUAACCUCCACGAGUUGGGGGCUUGAAGGUACCGUCAGAAUAAGCACCGGCUAACUCCGUGCCAGCAGCCGCGGUAAUACGGAGGGUGCAAGCGUUAUCCGGAAUCACUGGGUUUAAAGGGUGCGUAGGCGGCCUGAUAAGUCAGUUGUGAAAUAUCCUCGCUUAACGAGGGGACUGCGAUUGAUACUGUCAGGCUUGAAUUGGGUUGAGGCAGGCGGAAUGUGGCAUGUAGCGGUGAAAUGCAUAGAUAUGCCAUAGAACACCGAUUGCGAAGGCAGCCUGCUGGGCCUUGAUUGACGCUGAGGCACGAAAGCGUGGGGAGCAAACAGGAUUAGAUACCCUAGUAGUCC
RNAcentral lists this ribosomal RNA (446 nucleotides) under uncultured bacterium. RNAcentral describes it as "bacterial SSU rRNA". It matches the Rfam family "Bacterial small subunit ribosomal RNA", at positions 354 to 796 of the family's 1533-position model. The record is from RNAcentral.